RNAcentral lists this ribosomal RNA (253 nucleotides) under uncultured bacterium. RNAcentral describes it as "partial 16S ribosomal RNA". It matches the Rfam family "Bacterial small subunit ribosomal RNA", at positions 524 to 776 of the family's 1533-position model. The record is from RNAcentral.
GACGAACCGUGCGAACGUUAUUCGGAUUCAUUGGGCGUAAAGCGCGCGUAGGCGGCUCGGAAAGUCGGGCGUGAAAUGCCGGGGCUCAACCCCGGGACUGCGUCCGAUACUUCCGAGUUGGAGGUAGGUAGGGGAGAUCGGAAUUCCUGGUGUAGCGGUGAAAUGCGCAGAUAUCAGGAGGAACACCGGUGGCGAAGGCGGAUCUCUGGGCCGUACCUGACGCUGAGGCGCGAAAGCUAGGGGAGCGAACAGG